GACGAACCGUGCGAACGUUGUUCGGAUUCACUGGGCUUAAAGGGCGCGUAGGCGGGGGAUCAAGUCGGUGGUGAAAUCUUUCGGCUCAACCGGAAAACCGCCUCCGAUACUGGUCCCCUCGAGGAGGGUAGGGGCAUGCGGAACUUCGGGUGGAGCGGUGAAAUGCGUAGAUAUCAUUUGGAACGCCAAUGGUGAAAACAGCUCGCUGGGGGUGUGCUGACGCUGAGACACGAAAGCCAGGGGAGCAAACGGG
This 253-nucleotide ribosomal RNA is filed under the name uncultured bacterium. RNAcentral describes it as "partial 16S ribosomal RNA". It matches the Rfam family "Bacterial small subunit ribosomal RNA", at positions 524 to 776 of the family's 1533-position model. The record is from RNAcentral.